This 586-nucleotide ribosomal RNA is filed under the name Dibaeis absoluta. RNAcentral's name for it is "LSU rRNA". It matches the Rfam family "Eukaryotic large subunit ribosomal RNA", at positions 30 to 635 of the family's 3401-position model. Lineage: Eukaryota; Fungi; Ascomycota; Lecanoromycetes; Pertusariales; Icmadophilaceae. The record is from RNAcentral.
GAACUUAAGCAUAUCAAUAAGCGGAGGAAAAGAAACCAACAGGGAUUGCUUCAGUAACGGCGAGUGAAGCGGCAACAGCUCCAAUUUGAAAUCUGACUUCGGUCCGAGUUGUAAUUUGCAGAGGGAAUUUGGAAAACGACACUGGCUUAAGUCCCUUGGAACAGGGCGUCAUAGAGGGUGAGAAUCCCGUAUGUGGCCAGAGGUCAAUUUCAUGUCAAAUCCCUUCGACGAGUCGAGUUGUUUGGGAAUGCAGCUCAAAAUGGGUGGUAAAUUUCAUCUAAAGCUAAAUACCGGCCAGAGACCGAUAGCGCACAAGUAGAGUGAUCGAAAGAUGAAAAGCACUUUGGAAAGAGAGUUAAAUAGUACGUGAAAUUGUUGAAAGGGAAGCGCUUGCCAUUAGACCGAUUUCAUCGAUUGCAGUUCGGAGACCCCUCUGGACGUGACGCACCGGUAUUUCGGCCAGCAUCGGUUUGGGUGGUGUGACAAAGACGUGCAGAACGUGGCUCCUUCGGAGUGUUAUAGCUGUGCGUGUAAUGGCCCCUACCUGGACCGAGGACCGCGCUUCGGCUUAGGAUGCUGGCGUAAU